GAUGAACGCUGGCGGCGUGCCUAAUACAUGCAAGUCGAGCGGUAACACUUCGGGUGACGAGCGGCGGACGGCUGAGUAGCGCGUAGGAACGUACCCCAAAGUAGAGGGAUAACUGCUCGAAAGAGUAGCUAAUACCGCAUGUGCUCUACGGAGUAAAGCUUUAUGCGCUUUGGGAACGGCCUGCGUAUGAUUAGCUUGUUGGUGAGGUAAUGGCUCACCAAGGCGACGAUCAUUAGCUGGUCUGAGAGGAUGAUCAGCCAGACUGGGGCUGAGACACGGCCCAGACUCCUACGGGAGGCAGCAGUAGGGAAUUUUCCACAAUGGGCGAAAGCCUGACGCAGCGACGCCGCGUGGGGGAUGAAGGUCUUCGGAUUGUAAACCCCUUUCGGGAGGGAAGAUGGAGCGAGCAAUCGUUCGGACGGUACCUCCAGAAGCAGCCACGGCCAAC
This 448-nucleotide ribosomal RNA is filed under the name uncultured bacterium. RNAcentral's name for it is "bacterial SSU rRNA". It matches the Rfam family "Bacterial small subunit ribosomal RNA", at positions 28 to 501 of the family's 1533-position model. The record is from RNAcentral.